AGAGCGAACGCUGGCGGCAGGCCUAACACAUGCAAGUCGAGCGCCCCGCAAGGGGAGCGGCAGACGGGAGAGUAACACGUGGGAACGUGCCCUUUGGUUCGGAACAACACAGGGAAACUUGUGCUAAUACCGGAUAAGCCCUUACGGGGAAAGAUUUAUUGCCAAAGGAUCGGCCCGCGUCUGAUUAGCUUGUUGGUGAGGUAACGGCUCACCAAGGCUACGAUCAGUAGCUGGUCUGAGAGGAUGAUCAGCCUCACUGGGACUGAGACACGGCCCAGACUCCUACGGGAGGCAGCAGUGGGGAAUAUUGGACAAUGGGCGCAAGCCUGAUCCAGCCAUGCCGCGUGGAUGAUGAAGGCCUUAGGGGUUGUAAAGUCCUUUCGGCGGGGAAGAUAAUGACGGUACCCGCAGAAGAAGCCCCGGCUAACUUCGUGCCAGCAGCCGC
Molecule: ribosomal RNA, 445 nt
Filed under: uncultured bacterium
Lineage: Bacteria
Description: SSU rRNA
Rfam family: Bacterial small subunit ribosomal RNA
Source: RNAcentral